AAAUGAAUUGACGGGGACCCGCACAAGCAGCGGAGCAUGUGGUUUAAUUCGAAGCAACGCGAAGAACCUUACCAGGUCUUGACAUGCCAUUGACCGUCUUAGAGAUAAGAUUUUCCCUUCGGGGACAAUGGACACAGGUGGUGCAUGGUUGUCGUCAGCUCGUGUCGUGAGAUGUUGGGUUAAGUCCCGUAACGAGCGCAACCCCUAUUUUUAGUUGCUAGCAGGUUAAGCUGAGCACUCUAAAGAGACUGCCGAUGAUAAAUCGGAGGAAGGUGGGGAUGACGUCAAAUCAUCAUGCCCUUUAUGACCUGGGCUACACACGUGCUACAAUGGUCGGUACAACGAGCAGCUACCUAGUGAUAGGAUGCUAAUCUCUUAAAGCCGAUCCCAGUUCGGAUUGUAGGCUGCAAUUCGCCUACAUGAAGUCGGAGUUGCUAGUAAUCGCGGAUCAGAAUGCCGCGGUGAAUGCGUUCCCGGGUCUUGUACACACCGCCCGU
Molecule: ribosomal RNA, 497 nt
Filed under: uncultured bacterium
Lineage: Bacteria
Description: bacterial SSU rRNA
Rfam family: Bacterial small subunit ribosomal RNA
Source: RNAcentral